UACAGAGGUCUCGAGCGUUGUUCGGAUUCAUUGGGCGUAAAGGGUGCGUAGGCGGCGGGGUAAGUCUGAUGUGAAAUUCCAGGGCUCAACCUUGGGACUGCAUUGGAUACUGCCUUGCCCGAGAACUGGAGAGGAGACUGGAAUUUACGGUGUAGCAGUGAAAUGCGUAGAGAUCGUAAGGAAGACCAGUGGCGAAGGCGAGUCUCUGGACAGAUUCUGACGCUGAGGCACGAAGGCCAGGGGAGCAAACGGG
This 253-nucleotide ribosomal RNA is filed under the name uncultured bacterium. RNAcentral describes it as "partial 16S ribosomal RNA". It matches the Rfam family "Bacterial small subunit ribosomal RNA", at positions 524 to 776 of the family's 1533-position model. The record is from RNAcentral.